Prunus persica (peach) is the source of this 773-nucleotide long non-coding RNA. RefSeq lists it as uncharacterized. The record is from RefSeq and is a predicted model, not a curated record. NCBI's taxonomy places the organism in Eukaryota, Viridiplantae, Streptophyta, Magnoliopsida, Rosales, Rosaceae. The transcript is spliced from 3 exons.
UCUCCUCUCCUCUCUCUCCUCCCGCGCGAUUCUCCCCCGACCUCCGCCUCUUCUCAUCGACACCCCGGCCACCACAGGCCGGAUUGAUCUCCGCCGUGGGUACCGUCGGGACCGUGACAUCCUCGCCGUUCUUCCCCGACCCGCCGCCGACCGGGGGAAGCCCGGAACUGGCCGGAAUCUGCCAUUUUUGCCGAUUUUUCAGUUCGAACUUUGAGCUCCUCGUUCUCGCUCAAUUCUCCACCAAAUCGAUCGAGUAAGGCACCAGAGAACCAACGGAACCACAGAAGGGACCUUUAAGAGGUCCAGCUAGCUCGGACUAGCAGCCAUAGAAGUGCGCAGGAUCCACCACCGGGCCAUUCCUAGCUUCCGCGCCACCAAGUAAGGUAGAGUUUGUGGAAAAGUCCUUGAAACCCUGUAAACGUUAGAAAAUGCUCUGAUAUCUAGUUUAGUGGAAAACUGGAGCUGGUGAAUACUUGGUUAUUCUAUUCUGGCAGUUGGUGUGGAUUUAUUUAAUUGUUUAACAGGUGGAAGAUUUUGGGUUUAGUCAAAUUACAGGGGAGACUCUGCCGAAAUUUCGGCAGAAGUCCAGGGAAAGUUUUCAUAGUAACUGUAGCAGGAAGGGUAAAAUGGUCAUUUGUGCCCGUCAGUUGCCAGAUGUCGGACACGCACAGGGCUUGGUUCGAAUUCCAAAGUGGAAUUGGGAUCGGGUCCUGUCACAAACACGGAAUUCACAUGCAAUACAACAAACCAAAGUACAUCUCCUGGAGUUAACA